GGGGUUGUGGCUCAGCGGUAGAGCACUCACCUAGCAUGUGUGAGCCGCUGGGUUUGAUCCUCAGCACCCCA
This 71-nucleotide transfer RNA is filed under the name Ictidomys tridecemlineatus (thirteen-lined ground squirrel). RNAcentral's name for it is "Spermophilus tridecemlineatus (thirteen-lined ground squirrel) tRNA". It matches the Rfam family "tRNA". Rfam says of the family: Transfer RNA (tRNA) molecules are approximately 80 nucleotides in length. Lineage: Eukaryota; Metazoa; Chordata; Mammalia; Rodentia; Sciuridae. The record is from Rfam by way of RNAcentral.